AUUGAACGCUGGCGGCAGGCUUAACACAUGCAAGUCGAGCGGUAACAGAGAGAAGCUUGCUUCUCUGCUGACGAGUGGCGGACGGGUGAGUAAUGCCUAGGAAUCUGCCUAGUAGUGGGGGAUAACUUGCCGAAAGGUAAGCUAAUACCGCAUACGUCCUACGGGAGAAAGGAGGGGACCUUCGGGCCUUUCGCUAUUAGAUGAGCCUAGGUCGGAUUAGUUAGUUGGUGAGGUAAUGGCUCACCAAGACCGCGAUCCGUAACUGGUCUGAGAGGGUGAUCAGUCACACUGGAACUGAGACACGGUCCAGACUCCUACGGGAGGCAGCAGUGGGGAAUAUUGGACAAUGGGGGGAACCCUGAUCCAGCCAUGCCGCGUGUGUGAAGAAGGUCUUAGGAUUGUAAAGCACUUUAAGUUGGGAGGAAGAGCAGUUAACUAAUAUUUGACUGUUUUGACGUUACCGACAGAAUAAGCACCGGCUAACUUCGUGCCAGCCGCCGCGGUAA
This 506-nucleotide ribosomal RNA is filed under the name uncultured bacterium. Its description in RNAcentral is "partial 16S ribosomal RNA". It matches the Rfam family "Bacterial small subunit ribosomal RNA", at positions 30 to 523 of the family's 1533-position model. The record is from RNAcentral.